Molecule: ribosomal RNA, 2139 nt
Filed under: Salmonella enterica subsp. enterica serovar Enteritidis
Lineage: Bacteria; Pseudomonadati; Pseudomonadota; Gammaproteobacteria; Enterobacterales; Enterobacteriaceae
Description: partial 23S ribosomal RNA
Rfam family: Bacterial large subunit ribosomal RNA
Source: RNAcentral
CUUAAUUGGGCGUUAAGUUGCAGGGUAUAGACCCGAAACCCGGUGAUCUAGCCAUGGGCAGGUUGAAGGUUGGGUAACACUAACUGGAGGACCGAACCGACUAAUGUUGAAAAAUUAGCGGAUGACCUGUGGCUGGGGGUGAAAGGCCAAUCAAACCGGGAGAUAGCUGGUUCUCCCCGAAAGCUAUUUAGGUAGCGCCUCGUGAAUUCAUCUCCGGGGGUAGAGCACUGUUUCGGCUAGGGGGCCAUCCCGGCUUACCAACCCGAUGCAAACUGCGAAUACCGGAGAAUGUUAUCACGGGAGACACACGGCGGGUGCUAACGUCCGUCGUGAAGAGGGAAACAACCCAGACCGCCAGCUAAGGUCCCAAAGUCAUGGUUAAGUGGGAAACGAUGUGGGAAGGCCCAGACAGCCAGGAUGUUGGCUUAGAAGCAGCCAUCAUUUAAAGAAAGCGUAAUAGCUCACUGGUCGAGUCGGCCUGCGCGGAAGAUGUAACGGGGCUAAACCAUGCACCGAAGCUGCGGCAGCGACACUGUGUGUUGUUGGGUAGGGGAGCGUUCUGUAAGCCUGUGAAGGUGUGUCGUGAGGCAUGCUGGAGGUAUCAGAAGUGCGAAUGCUGACAUAAGUAACGAUAAAGCGGGUGAAAAGCCCGCUCGCCGGAAGACCAAGGGUUCCUGUCCAACGUUAAUCGGGGCAGGGUGAGUCGACCCCUAAGGCGAGGCCGAAAGGCGUAGUCGAUGGGAAACGGGUUAAUAUUCCCGUACUUGGUGUUACUGCGAAGGGGGGACGGAGAAGGCUAUGUUGGCCGGGCGACGGUUGUCCCGGUUUAAGCGUGUAGGUGUGUGUUCCAGGUAAAUCCGGUUCACUUUAACACUGAGGCGUGACGACGAGGCACUACGGUGCUGAAGCAACAAAUGCCCUGCUUCCAGGAAAAGCCUCUAAGCAUCAGGUAACAUCAAAUCGUACCCCAAACCGACACAGGUGGUCAGGUAGAGAAUACCAAGGCGCUUGAGAGAACUCGGGUGAAGGAACUAGGCAAAAUGGUGCCGUAACUUCGGGAGAAGGCACGCUGACACGUAGGUGAAGUGAUUUACUCAUGGAGCUGAAGUCAGUCGAAGAUACCAGCUGGCUGCAACUGUUUAUUAAAAACACAGCACUGUGCAAACACGAAAGUGGACGUAUACGGUGUGACGCCUGCCCGGUGCCGGAAGGUUAAUUGAUGGGGUCAGCGCAAGCGAAGCUCCUGAUCGAAGCCCCGGUAAACGGCGGCCGUAACUAUAACGGUCCUAAGGUAGCGAAAUUCCUUGUCGGGUAAGUUCCGACCUGCACGAAUGGCGUAAUGAUGGCCAGGCUGUCUCCACCCGAGACUCAGUGAAAUUGAACUCGCUGUGAAGAUGCAGUGUACCCGCGGCAAGACGGAAAGACCCCGUGAACCUUUACUAUAGCUUGACACUGAACAUUGAGCCUUGAUGUGUAGGAUAGGUGGGAGGCUUUGAAGUGUGGACGCCAGUCUGCAUGGAGCCGACCUUGAAAUACCACCCUUUAAUGUUUGAUGUUCUAACGUGGACCCGUUACCCGGGUUGCGGACAGUGUCUGGUGGGUAGUUUGACUGGGGCGGUCUCCUCCUAAAGAGUAACGGAGGAGCACGAAGGUUGGCUAAUCCUGGUCGGACAUCAGGAGGUUAGUGCAAUGGCAUAAGCCAGCUUGACUGCGAGCGUGACGGCGCGAGCAGGUGCGAAAGCAGGUCAUAGUGAUCCGGUGGUUCUGAAUGGAAGGGCCAUCGCUCAACGGAUAAAAGGUACUCCGGGGAUAACAGGCUGAUACCGCCCAAGAGUUCAUAUCGACGGCGGUGUUUGGCACCUCGAUGUCGGCUCAUCACAUCCUGGGGCUGAAGUAGGUCCCAAGGGUAUGGCUGUUCGCCAUUUAAAGUGGUACGCGAGCUGGGUUUAGAACGUCGUGAGACAGUUCGGUCCCUAUCUGCCGUGGGCGCUGGAGAACUGAGGGGGGCUGCUCCUAGUACGAGAGGACCGGAGUGGACGCAUCACUGGUGUUCGGGUUGUCAUGCCAAUGGCACUGCCCGGUAGCUAAAUGCGGAAGAGAUAAGUGCUGAAAGCAUCUAAGCACGAAACUUGCCCCGAG